CCUCGGGGAGAAUGUAUUUGUCUUAGUUUGAGCUGCUCCCCAGGGCUGGGAGCUGGGGUGGUUGGUCCCAGGAGAGUUUCCCGCUGAGAGACCAAUCGCAGCUGUUCUUUUUCACUCCUUUGAAAUUAGAUAUUCACAACAGCCGGCAGUCAUUGGCAGUUUUAGUUGUGUGUGAGAGCGUGUGUGUGUGAGAGAGAAGCUGGAGGGGUUAUGGGGGCCCCCCAUAACCCAGGGGGGGCCCCUGUGCCCCCACGGCCCUGGCUCGGCCAGGGCUGGAGGCAGCGUGUAGGAGUAUGUGUGAGUUGUGAGGGAGACUCCCUCUUUCCCCCCCCAGCUAGACUGCAGGGCUUGGGACAGUUUGAACUGAACUGAGAACCCUGUGACCAAGGCGAGGGAGCUUUCUUUUUCUUCGCCCCCCCGCCUGGGAAGGCGGUCGUGUGGAUUCAGGGCAUGCUUGGCAUUGGAGCCAAGCCAAGAGAUGGGCCAGAGGGGUCUGGAGCCUGGAGAAGUGGCUGGGAUAUAUGGAAAAGCUGGAAGAACUCCAGGCUGAAGGAAUUGGAGAUGGGCCAGAGGGGCUGGGAGGUGCCAUAUGUUGGGUUUGGACCUGGGCUACUGAAACUGAAAACUGCAGCAGCUAAGGAAGAGCAAGAGAGCCAAACCAGCAGGUUUUUCUGAGAGGAAAGCUUCAUGAAACCAAGGAGGAAGGACUCAGAGCUGACUCCCUGGACCUUUUUGUGAUGAAGACCUGGUGAAGUGAGUGUUUCCCUGGCAGCCCAGGAUGAGACCUCAGCAGGAGCUGAGGGCUGGUGGGGGUGCAAGAGAACCCAUUUCCCUGAUACCCCAAUGAGAGAGAGACUUUUUCACUAUCGCCCUGAAGACAACUUCAGAACUGAUGUAGGAGUGUUCAAGGGGAGCUGUGUUAAUAUUAUAUAUUUUUAGUUUGUAUAGUAUUUAUUGGGUAAUAAUAAAUUGUAUGUAAUUCCCUUCCCA
Long non-coding RNA from Chiroxiphia lanceolata (lance-tailed manakin), 990 nucleotides. RefSeq lists it as uncharacterized. Lineage: Eukaryota; Metazoa; Chordata; Aves; Passeriformes; Pipridae. The record is from RefSeq and is a predicted model, not a curated record. The transcript is spliced from 2 exons.